This 501-nucleotide ribosomal RNA is filed under the name uncultured bacterium. RNAcentral's name for it is "partial 16S ribosomal RNA". It matches the Rfam family "Bacterial small subunit ribosomal RNA", at positions 30 to 523 of the family's 1533-position model. The record is from RNAcentral.
AUUGAACGCGGGCGGCAUGCCUUACACAUGCAAGUCGAACGGCAGCACGGGUGCUUGCACCUGGUGGCGAGUGGCGAACGGGUGAGUAAUACAUCGGAACGUACCUUAUCGUGGGGGAUAACGCAGCGAAAGUUGCGCUAAUACCGCAUAAGCCCUGAGGGGGAAAGCGGGGGACCGUAAGGCCUCGCGCGAUUAGAGCGGCCGAUGUCCGAUUAGCUUGUUGGUGAGGUAAAAGCUCACCAAGGCGAUGAUCAGUAGCUGGUCUGAGAGGACGAUCAGCCACACUGGGACUGAGACACGGCCCAGACUCCUACGGGAGGCAGCAGUGGGGAAUUUUGGACAAUGGGGGCAACCCUGAUCCAGCAAUGCCGCGUGAGUGAAGAAGGCCUUCGGGUUGUAAAGCUCUUUUGUCAGGGAAGAAACAGCAGCUCUAACACAGUCUGCGAAUGACGGUACCUGAAGAAUAAGCACCGGCUAACUACGUGCCAGCCGCCGCAGUAA